This 497-nucleotide ribosomal RNA is filed under the name uncultured bacterium. Its description in RNAcentral is "partial 16S ribosomal RNA". It matches the Rfam family "Bacterial small subunit ribosomal RNA", at positions 28 to 507 of the family's 1533-position model. The record is from RNAcentral.
GAUGAACGCUGGCGGCGUGCCUAAUACAUGCAAGUCGAGCGAACAGACGAGGAGCUUGCUCCUCUGACGUUAGCGGCGGACGGGUGAGUAACACGUGGAUAACCUACCUAUAAGACUGGGAUAACUUCGGGAAACCGGAGCUAAUACCGGAUAAUAUAUUGAACCGCAUGGUUCAAUAGUGAAAGACGGUUUUGCUGUCACUUAUAGAUGGAUCCGCGCCGCAAUAGCUAGUUGGUAAGGUAACGGCUUACCAAGGCAACGAUGCGUAGCCGACCUGAGAGGGUGAUCGGCCACACUGGAACUGAGACACGGUCCAGACUCCUACGGGAGGCAGCAGUAGGGAAUCUUCCGCAAAGGGCGAAAGCCUGACGGAGCAACGCCGCGUGAGUGAUGAAGGUCUUCGGAUCGUAAAACUCUGUUAUUAGGGAAGAACAAAUGUGUAAGUAACUAUGCACGUCUUGACGGUACCUAAUCAGAAAGCCACGGCUAACUACGUG